GACGGGCCCGCACAAGCAGCGGAGCGUGUGGUUUAAUUCGAUGCUACACGAAGAACCUUACCAGGGUUUGACAUGCAAGUGGUAGGAAACCGAAAGGUGACCGACCCUUCGGGGAGCUUGCACAGGUGCUGCAUGGCUGUCGUCAGCUCGUGUCGUGAGAUGUUCGGUUAAGUCCGCUAACGAGCGCAACCCUCGCUGUGUGUUAUAUGUGUCACACGGGACUGCCGGUCUUAAGCCGGAGGAAGGUGGGAUGAUGUCAAGUCAGCAUGGCCUUUAUAUCCUGGGCUACACACACGCUACAAUGGCCAGCACAGUAGGUUGCUAAGCCGCGAGGUGGAGCCAAUCCAUAAAGCUGGUCUCAGUUCAGAUUGCAGGCUGCAACCCGCCUGCAUGAAGUCGGAAUCGCUAGUAAUCGCAGGUCAGCAUACUGCGGUCGAAUACGUUCCCGGGCCUU
This 454-nucleotide ribosomal RNA is filed under the name uncultured Leptolinea sp. RNAcentral describes it as "bacterial SSU rRNA". It matches the Rfam family "Bacterial small subunit ribosomal RNA", at positions 917 to 1381 of the family's 1533-position model. Lineage: Bacteria; Bacillati; Chloroflexota; Anaerolineae; Anaerolineales; Anaerolineaceae. The record is from RNAcentral.